CAGCCGCCGCGGGAAUACGAAGGGGGCUAGCGUUGCUCGGAAUUACUGGGCGUAAAGGGAGCGUAGGCGGACAUUUAAGUCAGGGGUGAAAUCCCGGGGCUCAACCUCGGAAUUGCCUUUGAUACUGGGUGUCUUGAGUAUGAGAGAGGUAUGUGGAACUCCGAGUGUAGAGGUGAAAUUCGUAGAUAUUCGGAAGAACACCAGUGGCGAAGGCGACAUACUGGCUCAUUACUGACGCUGAGGCUCGAAAGCGUGGGGAGCAAACAGGAUUAGAUACCCCCGUAGUCCCUGUCUCUUAUAC
This 301-nucleotide ribosomal RNA is filed under the name uncultured bacterium. RNAcentral describes it as "partial 16S ribosomal RNA". It matches the Rfam family "Bacterial small subunit ribosomal RNA", at positions 509 to 807 of the family's 1533-position model. The record is from RNAcentral.